AGUGAACGCUGGCGGUAGGCCUAACACAUGCAAGUCGAACGGCAGCACAGUAAGAGCUUGCUCUUACGGGUGGCGAGUGGCGGACGGGUGAGGAAUACAUCGGACUCUACUUUUUCGUGGGGGAUAACGUAGGGACACUUACGCUAAUACCGCAUACGACCUACGGCUGAAAGCAGGGGAUCUUCGGACCUUGCGCGAUUGAAUGAGCCGAUGUCGGAUUAGCUAGUUGGCGGGGUAAAGGCCCACCAAGGCGACGAUCCGUAGCUGGUCUGAGAGGAUGAUCAGCCACACUGGAACUGAGACACGGUCCAGACUCCUACGGGAGGCAGCAGUGGGGAAUAUUGGACAAUGGGCGCAAGCCUGAUCCAGCCAUACCGCGUGGGUGAAGAAGGCCUUCGGGUUGUAAAGCCCUUUUGUUGGGAAAGAAAAGCAGCAGGUUAAUACCCCGCUGUUCUGACGGUACCCAAAGAAUAAGCACCGGCUAACUUCGUG
This 492-nucleotide ribosomal RNA is filed under the name uncultured bacterium. RNAcentral's name for it is "partial 16S ribosomal RNA". It matches the Rfam family "Bacterial small subunit ribosomal RNA", at positions 29 to 507 of the family's 1533-position model. The record is from RNAcentral.